UCUGGUAGUUAUGGCGAGAAGGUCACACCCGUUCCCAUCCCGAACACGGUAGUUAAGCUUCU
RNAcentral lists this ribosomal RNA (62 nucleotides) under Listeria monocytogenes. The record is from RNAcentral. Lineage: Bacteria; Bacillati; Bacillota; Bacilli; Caryophanales; Listeriaceae.